Molecule: transfer-messenger RNA, 411 nt
Filed under: Candidatus Tagabacteria bacterium RIFCSPLOWO2_01_FULL_39_11
Lineage: Bacteria; Candidatus Tagaibacteriota
Also listed under: 1 other name
Rfam family: transfer-messenger RNA
About the family: Bacterial tmRNA, also known as 10Sa RNA or SsrA, is named for its dual tRNA and mRNA-like properties. Its role is to liberate the mRNA from a stalled ribosome.
Source: RNAcentral
GGGGAUGAUUGGAUUUGACAAAUAAAUUAGCGUUAAAAUAGGCAAGUUGAGCCGAACAACUCAUAAAAAGGUUCAAAAACAAUAAGUGCAAACUUAUUUCAAAGAGCUAAAUUAGCUUUGGCCAAUCUUUGGCCAGAUUGGCCAGACGACAAUUUAGCCCCAGCUUUCGCUUAAUUUAAUUUCGCGAAAGCCGUUCGUUUGGCUGAUUCUCAAUAAGUCAAAACGAAUGUCAUAUUAUUGAGAUAGAUAAUUUUCUUCGGCUUAAGGAAAAUUAUUAAAAACACAUUAAGCCAAAAUCAAGAAUAUUUUGUCCCGCUUAAAUUUCUUGAUUUAAAAUCGCAGCGGGAAUAAACUUGUAGAAUAUUUUAAUGUUAUUAUUUGGACGGGGUUUCAAUACCCCCAUCUCCACAA